Molecule: long non-coding RNA, 1550 nt
Organism: Monodelphis domestica (gray short-tailed opossum)
Lineage: Eukaryota; Metazoa; Chordata; Mammalia; Didelphimorphia; Didelphidae
Source: RefSeq, a predicted model, not a curated record
AUUUGGCCAAUUCAAUUCUGUUUUUUUAUUUAAAUUUCUCUGCAGUGGAUUUUUGUCCUUCUUUUACCAUUUAAUCUAUUUUGUUUUUGUAAGAUAUUUUUUUUAGUUUAUUUUUGUGUCUUCUUUAAUAAGCUGCAAACUUUUUAAUGAUAUUUCGGCAUUCCUCUAAUUCCCCCCCCAAAAAAAUUUUUUUUCCUCUACUCUCUUAUAUGAUUUUAAAAAUUCCAGUUGAGCUCUUUCAGAGAUUUGUUUUUUUGGUCCUGAGACCAAAUCAUAUUUUCUUUGGGGCUUUGGAUUUUGCAGCUUUGACUUUGUUAUAUUCUUUUGAGAUUGUGUUUUGUCCCCUAAUAACUUUCUAUGAUGUUUCUUUUUUGUUCAUUUCCCUAGUCCUUUUCUUGAUUUUAAUUUAAAAAAAAACUAUUAAAGUUGGACUUUGUUCCUAUAGCGGAGAGAACAGUGUACCAAGUUUCAGGGUUUUUAUGCAGCUGCUUUUGAAACUAAUUCUGGAGAUCUAUAAAUUUUUGGUUCUUCCUUGAUGGUAUGAUCUAUGGAGAAGUAUGAUUACUACUCUCCUGUCAUGUGCUCUGAUCUGUGAGUGAGAACAAGCUCUAUUUUCUACACUAGAAUUUUAACCAGGAAUGCAAACACAUGUAUGGUAACAUUCCUCCUCAUCCUAGGGGACUAUAACCUAGGACUGAAACCAAGAUCUGCUUAUGAGAAAUGUAACAGAAUACUGUGCCAGGAAAGGGACUGUGUAAUAAUCUUCUGACCAGUUCUCUGACUCCAUUAACUUAAGUGAGCUGAGAGCUCUGGAAAUCUUACUGCCUAUUUAGCUGUCCCCAAGAUCUGCUCUGACUUGCCAAGUGAGGGACUUUUCCUGGCACAUUGAUUUGCACUCCAUUUCCAGUUUUUUGUAACAGAUCUUUCCACCUGACAUUCUAAGUUAUCUUGGAAUAAAAAAUUGUUUCAUGACAUCUUUUUGGGAGUUUUGCCACUCCAGAAUUUGUUUUUCAGCAUUAUUUUAAAGUUUUUUUGGAGGGGAAAUUGGUAGAUAUCAGAUUUUCCCUGACAUCUUGACUCCGCUCUUCAUCUCCAAUUUCUAUUUGCAGAGCAGUUGAUAUUCCCGGUGAACUAGGGGCUAUUAUUCCCAGAAUACAUGAAGAACCAAAGGCUGAGAAAGAAUCUCUGAAAUUACUGUCAUUUGAGAAAACAAUUUCAUCAAAAGAAAGUAUUGUGCACAGCCUACCAAAUCCAAAACUAUCUGUGAUCUCCACAAUUAAGUCCAAGCUUUUUAAGGCACUGAAGAAAGGAAUUUUUCCCCCUUAAAGAGAGGGCUAUAAUACAAAACAAUGAAGAAAAAAAAACCCAGAGGAUGAACAGUUAUAUUCAAUCAAGACGUAUCUCUUACCAUCUCUGUAAAGACUGCAUCUUCCAAUAGGCAGAUGCAAUAAUAGCUUUUUUUUUUACCCUCCUUCAAUUUUCUACUUAUCAGCUUUGUAGAUGAAAAGCUUCCUUACUAAACAAAAUUUUGAAUAAAAGCCUUAACUUAA